RNAcentral lists this ribosomal RNA (497 nucleotides) under uncultured bacterium. Its description in RNAcentral is "partial 16S ribosomal RNA". It matches the Rfam family "Bacterial small subunit ribosomal RNA", at positions 28 to 507 of the family's 1533-position model. The record is from RNAcentral.
GAUGAACGCUGGCGGCGUGCCUAAUACAUGCCAGUCGAGCGAACAGAUAAGGAGCUUGCUCCUUUGACGUUAGCGGCGGACGGGUGAGUAACACGUGGGUAACCUACCUAUAAGACUGGGAUAACUUCGGGAAACCGGAGCUAAUACCGGAUAAUAUUUCGAACCGCAUGGUUCGAUAGUGAAAGAUGGUUUUGCUAUCACUUAUAGAUGGACCCGCGCCGUAUUAGCUAGUUGGUAAGGUAACGGCUUACCAAGGCGACGAUACGUAGCCGACCUGAGAGGGUGAUCGGCCACACUGGAACUGAGACACGGUCCAGACUCCUACGGGAGGCAGCAGUAGGGAAUCUUCCGCAAUGGGCGAAAGCCUGACGGAGCAACGCCGCGUGAGUGAUGAAGGUCUUCGGAUCGUAAAGCUCUGUUAUUAGGGAAGAACAUACGUGUAAGUAACUGUGCACGUCUUGACGGUACCUAAUCAGAAAGCCACGGCUAACUACGUG